CAAAAAUUUACAGACAGCACAGCAGCAUUACAUAAAUAGUAUGCUUCUUUACAAAAUUAUGACCCCCAAAAAUAAACAGUAUGCUUCUUUACAAACAGUAUGCACAGCAGCAUUACCACACAUCAUUUCUUUCUCUUCCUUGGCACCAACUUCUCUAUUCUUUGCCUACUUUGGGUUUGUAAUUGUUUUCCAGUAAUAGCAGCUUUCCCAUUCCAUGUAAGGCUGCCUGGUGAGUAAGGAAGAUCAGAUGGAACACUUAAACCAUUGUGAUCACCUUUGAAUGCAAUUACCCUUGAUUCUGAAGGUUGUGAUG
This 313-nucleotide long non-coding RNA is filed under the name Nicotiana benthamiana. Its description in RNAcentral is "long non-coding RNA (NBEN_LNC009444)". The record is from RNAcentral. Lineage: Eukaryota; Viridiplantae; Streptophyta; Magnoliopsida; Solanales; Solanaceae.